RNAcentral lists this ribosomal RNA (268 nucleotides) under uncultured prokaryote. RNAcentral describes it as "partial 16S ribosomal RNA". It matches the Rfam family "Bacterial small subunit ribosomal RNA", at positions 524 to 792 of the family's 1533-position model. The record is from RNAcentral.
UACGUAGGUGGCAAGCGUUGUCCGGAUUUAUUGGGCGUAAAGCGAGCGCAGGCGGUUCCUUAAGUCUGAUGUGAAAGCCCACGGCUCCACCGUAGUAAGCCUUUGAAACUGGGAAACUUGAGUGCAGGAGAGGAGAGUGGAAUUCCUAGUGUAGCGGUGAAAUGCGUAGAUAUUAGGAGGAACACCAGUUGCGAAGGCGGCUCUCUGGACUGUAACUGACACUGAGGCACGAAAGCGUGGGGAGCAAACAGGAUUAGAUACCCUGGUA